This 336-nucleotide unclassified non-coding RNA is filed under the name soil metagenome. RNAcentral describes it as "partial contains 5.8S ribosomal RNA, internal transcribed spacer 2, and large subunit ribosomal RNA". The stretch from base 1 to 120 matches the Rfam family "5.8S ribosomal RNA", at positions 35 to 154 of the family's 154-position model. The record is from RNAcentral.
GAUGAAGAACGCAGCGAAACGCGAUAAGUAAUGUGAAUUGCAGAAUUCAGUGAAUCAUCGAAUCUUUGAACGCACAUUGCGCCCGCCAGUAUUCUGGCGGGCAUGCCUGUUCGAGCGUCAUUUCAACCAUCAAGCCCCAGGCUUGUGUUGGGGACCUGCGGCUGCCGCAGGCCCUGAAAACCAGUGGCGGGCUCGCUGUCACACCGGGCGUAGUAGAUUUUAUCUCGCUCAGGGCGUGCUGCGGGUCCCGGCCGUUAAAAGCCUUUUUUUACCCAAGGUUGACCUCGGAUCAGGUAGGAAGACCCGCUGAACUUAAGCAUAUCAAUAAGCGGAGGA